GACGAACGCUGGCGGCGUGCUUAACACAUGCAAGUCGAACGGUAACGCGGGGGCAACCCUGGCGACGAGUGGCGAACGGGUGAGUAAUACAUCGGAACGUACCCAGUUGUGGGGGAGUAGCUCGGCGAAAGCCGGAUUAAUACCGCAUACGACCUACGGGUGAAAGCGGGGGCUCGCAAGACCUCGCGCUAUUGGAGCGGCCGAUGGCAGAUUAGCUUGUUGGUGAGGUAAGAGCUUACCAAGGCGACGAUCUGUAGCUGGUCUGAGAGGACGACCAGCCACACUGGGACUGAGACACGGCCCAGACUCCUACGGGAGGCAGCAGUGGGGAAUUUUGGACAAUGGGCGAAAGCCUGAUCCAGCAAUGCCGCGUGUGUGAUGAAGGCCUCGGUUGGUAA
RNAcentral lists this ribosomal RNA (398 nucleotides) under uncultured bacterium. RNAcentral describes it as "bacterial SSU rRNA". It matches the Rfam family "Bacterial small subunit ribosomal RNA", at positions 28 to 428 of the family's 1533-position model. The record is from RNAcentral.